UACAGGGGCCUCGAGCAUUAUCCGGAAUCAUUGGGCGUAAAGGGUGUGUAGGCGGUUUAGUUAGUCUCUUGUAAAAGCCCGCAGGCUUAACCUGUGGAAUGCGGGGGAAACGGCUAGACUAAGAGGACGCGAGAGGUAUAUGGAACUCAUGGUGUAGGGGUGAAAUCCGUUGAUAUCAUGGGGAACACCAAAUGCGAAGGCAAUAUACUGGCGCGCUCCUGACGCUGAAACACGAAAGCGUGGGAAUCGAACGGG
RNAcentral lists this ribosomal RNA (255 nucleotides) under uncultured bacterium. RNAcentral describes it as "partial 16S ribosomal RNA". It matches the Rfam family "Bacterial small subunit ribosomal RNA", at positions 524 to 776 of the family's 1533-position model. The record is from RNAcentral.